RNAcentral lists this ribosomal RNA (496 nucleotides) under uncultured bacterium. RNAcentral describes it as "partial 16S ribosomal RNA". It matches the Rfam family "Bacterial small subunit ribosomal RNA", at positions 29 to 507 of the family's 1533-position model. The record is from RNAcentral.
AUGAACGCUGGCGGCGUGCCUAAUACAUGCAAGUCGAGCGAACAGAUGAGGAGCUUGCUCCUCAGACGUUAGCGGCGGACGGGUGAGUAACACGUGGAUAACCUACCUAUAAGACUGGGAUAACUUCAGGAAACCGGAGCUAAUACCGGAUAAUAUAUUGAACCGCAUGGUUCAAUAGUGAAAGACGGUUUUGCUGUCACUUAUAGAUGGAUCCGCGCCGCAUUAGCUAGUUGGUAAGGUAACGGCUUACCAAGGCAACGAUGCGUAGCCGACCUGAGAGGGUGAUCGGCCACACUGGAACUGAGACACGGUCCAGACUCCUACGGGAGGCAGCAGUAGGGAAUCUUCCGCAAUGGGCGAAAGCUUGACGGAGCAACGCCGCGUGAGUGAUGAAGGUCUUCGGAUCGUAAAACUCUGUUAUUAGGGAAGAACAAAUGUGUAAGUAACUAUGCACGUCUUGACGGUACCUAAUCAGAAAGCCACGGCUAACUACGUG